UCAAUGGUAUGAACGCUUUCCUCACCAACAUCAGCAUUGGACGUGAUUGGCUGAUGCUGAUGGGUCAAUCUGCCAGGAAGAAUGGAAUCAACAUCAUGUACUGCAUGUCCUAUUCCAGAGAAGCCUUGCAGAGUCUGGAGAUUCAGCAGUCACAAUGGCACGUUCCAGCGACGACUACAGCCCCGGUAACGACAACUGGAAAAUUGGUAUAUCGUCGAUAUUUGCAGAUGCCAUUGGUCUUGCUCCGUUUAAAGAUACCUUCUGGACUACUACCAACCAGCCAGGAAACUCUUACAACAAGUCUGAGCCAAACCCUGGUCUCCAUCUGACGGUGGCUACUCUCAGCACUGCGGC
Long non-coding RNA from Haliotis rubra (blacklip abalone), 354 nucleotides. RefSeq lists it as uncharacterized. The record is from RefSeq and is a predicted model, not a curated record. The transcript has 3 exons. NCBI's taxonomy places the organism in Eukaryota, Metazoa, Mollusca, Gastropoda, Lepetellida, Haliotidae.